AUCCGGAUCUGAUUGAAGCAAGAGCCUGAACUGAGCAUACAGCAUUGCCUGCCAGUGUCGGCCCUGUCUUGACUGAACAGAUAGCUGUACUGAAUAGGUUUGGAGUCCCCCUAUCAGUGGCACAGAUGAUUCUCUUUUUGCAUAUGCUUAAAUGGCUAACAGGUGAUCAGGCUGUCAACUGAAACCAAAAGCUGGAAAUUCACUGUCUGUUGAAAAUGAUGGUGAAAUGUCUUGGAGCCGAUGUGGAGACAAAAUCUUGGCUGCACCGAAACUUGUAAUUAAUAAAUACUGCUGAGCUGGUCAAUACUGUAUUGAUGUUUGCAACAAUGGGAUAACCAAGUGUUUGUCUUAGUGUACUGAUACAAAUAUAUUAUUAAAGAUUCAAAUCUGGUUAUGA
Protopterus annectens (West African lungfish) is the source of this 397-nucleotide long non-coding RNA. RefSeq lists it as uncharacterized. The record is from RefSeq and is a predicted model, not a curated record. The transcript has 2 exons. NCBI's taxonomy places the organism in Eukaryota, Metazoa, Chordata, Ceratodontiformes, Protopteridae.